UACGUAGGUGACAAGCGUUGUCCGGAUUUACUGGGCGUAAAGAGCGCGCAGGCGGUCGAUCAAGUCGAGUGUGAAAGCCCCCGGCUCAACUGGGGAGGGUCAUUCGAUACUGAUCGACUCGAAGGCAGGAGAGGGUAGUGGAAUUCCCGGUGUAGUGGUGAAAUGCGUAGAUAUCGGGAGGAACACCAAUGGCGAAGGCAGCUCGCUGGGACGGUACUGACGCUGAGACGCGAAAGCGUGGGGAGCAAACAGG
RNAcentral lists this ribosomal RNA (253 nucleotides) under uncultured bacterium. RNAcentral describes it as "partial 16S ribosomal RNA". It matches the Rfam family "Bacterial small subunit ribosomal RNA", at positions 524 to 776 of the family's 1533-position model. The record is from RNAcentral.